CAGCCGCCGCGGUAAAACGUAGGGUGUGAGCGUUAAUCGGAAUUACUGGGCGUAAAGCGUGCGCAGGCGGUUUUGUAAGACAGGCGUGAAAUCCCCGGGCUCAACCUGGGAAUGGCGCUUGUGACUGCAAAGCUAGAGUGCGGCAGAGGGGGAUGGAAUUCCGCGUGUAGCAGUGAAAUGCGUAGAGAUCGGGAGGAACAUCAGUGGCGAAGGCGGCCAUCUGGGACAACACUGACGCUGAAGCACGAAAGCGUGGGGAGCAAACAGGAUUAGAUACCCCGGUAGUCCCUGUCUCUUAUAU
This 301-nucleotide ribosomal RNA is filed under the name uncultured bacterium. Its description in RNAcentral is "partial 16S ribosomal RNA". It matches the Rfam family "Bacterial small subunit ribosomal RNA", at positions 509 to 809 of the family's 1533-position model. The record is from RNAcentral.